CUUCGGUGAAGAUGAGAUGACGAGUCUGAAAGGGAAUAUCCUUGUCCAAGUGCCCCAUUUCGUGUUGUGUUCUACAGCAUGGACUUGGGGACCUUGGGUCACAACUUGAGUGACUCAGAGGCAUUUGUCUGAGAAGG
This is a non-coding RNA of Egretta garzetta (little egret), 137 nucleotides long. The record is from Rfam. Lineage: Eukaryota; Metazoa; Chordata; Aves; Pelecaniformes; Ardeidae.